ACUCCUACGGGAGGCAGCAGUGGGAAUAUUGGACAAUGGGGGCAACCCUGAUCCAGCCAUGCCGCGUGUGUGAAGAAGGCUUUCGGGUUGUAAAAGCACUUUCAGUGAGGAGGAAAAGUUGGUCGUUAAUACCGGCCAGCCUUGACGUUACUCACAGAAGAAGCACCGGCUAACUCCGUGCCAGCAGCCGCGGUAAUACGGAGGGUGCAAGCGUUAAUCGGAAUUACUGGGCGUAAAGCGCGCGUAGGUGGUUUGAUAAGCGAGAUGUGAAAGCCCCGGC
This 280-nucleotide ribosomal RNA is filed under the name uncultured bacterium. Its description in RNAcentral is "partial 16S ribosomal RNA". It matches the Rfam family "Bacterial small subunit ribosomal RNA", at positions 335 to 607 of the family's 1533-position model. The record is from RNAcentral.